UGGUAACUAAGGUAAAAGUAUUGUGACUAUAGAACGUCUAUCCAACUAGAACGUCUAUCUGGAUACUAAGGAAAACGUUAGAAUUAUUUAAAUCAAAGUAGACAAGACGUAAAAUAACAACCUCACGAUAACGGUGGAGCACAGCGUGUGUUUGUUUUCUUUUUGUUAUCUUAUCCUUCACAUUUGUUUAACUAAGGAACGGAUUACGCAGAAGCUUCUUCGUUGUUCUUUUGUCCUACCGGCUAUAUAAAGUGAUCAUCCCUCCCUAGACGUCACAUUCUGCUUCGACAUUGCACGGCAUCAACAACGCAAUGAAGGUGCUCGUAGCAAUCGCGGUCUGCAGUCUAGCACUACUGGCCAGCGUAGCUUCGUCCCAUUCGCAACGCGACUUCGGCUUCGGACUCAGACCACCCCCGCACGACACCUGCAGGUACUGGUGCCGAACUCCCGAGGGGCAGUUCUACUGCUGCGAGGACGACGAGAACCCCCCCGGGCCCAUUGGCGUCAAACCUGGGCACUGCCCGCCAGUCCGACCUGUGUGCCCGCCGGCAAGGGCAUUCGGUCCUCCUGAACCUUGCUCCAAUGACUACAGCUGCCCAGGAUUUGACAAGUGCUGCUUCGACAGGUGUCUGGAGGAGCAUGUCUGUAAGCCUCCUAUCGGCGCUAUCGGUUCUGUGUUGGAUUGAGCCUGCCAACCCUGUUGCUGAGGGACAUCUCUAGACUAAAACCGAAUGCUUUGGGCUGCUUCAAAUCUCUUGAUAAUGUUAAAGGACAGAAUUAAGACAAAAAGGCUUGAUUUCUGUCUCGUAGGGGUUAGCACAUUUAGUUACUGCUAUUAAAAUAGCUGUCUCGAGCAGUCACAUUCAUUAGUCUUACGAUUCGGAUCACCUUAUUUUUUUAAAGUAUUGAAAUAACCCUUAUUUCUUCAAGGUUUAAUUUCCCUGACUGUUACCUGACAAAUCCAAUAUUCUGAAAGCAUGGAACAUUUCAAAACGCAAUUUACAAUGGAAACAAUUAUUUUCUGCAUGUAAUAAAAAAAAGGGAAUUAGUA
Molecule: long non-coding RNA, 1051 nt
Organism: Macrobrachium nipponense
Lineage: Eukaryota; Metazoa; Arthropoda; Malacostraca; Decapoda; Palaemonidae
Exons: 2
Source: RefSeq, a predicted model, not a curated record